RNAcentral lists this unclassified non-coding RNA (363 nucleotides) under uncultured bacterium. RNAcentral describes it as "contains 16S-23S intergenic spacer region". The record is from RNAcentral.
UCCCCGUUACCGGGGCAGUCUAGCUAGAAAAAUUCAACUAACUAUAAGGGUUGCGCUCGUUGAUGGACUUAACCAAACAUCUCACGACACGAGCUGACGACGGCCAUGCAUCACCUGUCACUUGGUUCAAUAAAGCACUUUUUGCUUUCGCAAAAAUUCCAAGGAUGUCAAACCCUGGUAAGGUUCUUCGUUUACCUUCGAAUUAAACAACACGCUCCACCGCUUGUGCGGGUCCCCGUCAAUUCCUUUAUGUUUUAAGCUUGCGCUCGUACUCCACAGGCGGGAUGCUUAACGCGUUAGCUUCGCAACGUUCCGGGUCGAUACGGAACACUGCUAGCAUCCAUCGUUUACGGCGUGGACUAC